Molecule: ribosomal RNA, 253 nt
Filed under: uncultured bacterium
Lineage: Bacteria
Description: partial 16S ribosomal RNA
Rfam family: Bacterial small subunit ribosomal RNA
Source: RNAcentral
UACGGAGGGUGCAAGCGUUAUCCGGAUUCACUGGGUUUAAAGGGUGCGUAGGAGGGCAGGUAAGUCAGUGGUGAAAUCUCCGAGCUUAACUUGGAAACUGCCGUUGAUACUAUUUGUCUUGAAUACUGUGGAGGUCAGCGGAAUAUGUCAUGUAGCGGUGAAAUGCUUAGAUAUGACAUAGAACACCAAUUGCGAAGGCAGCUGGCUACACAAAUAUUGACACUGAGGCACGAAAGCGGGGGGAUCAAACAGG